GUUGUCCUUCAGCACAUAAAAUUCACACGGAUAAGCAAUAAAGCGUCUGGCUGCUGAGUGCGCCCCUUAUACAAAGCCUGGUUGGGUAACAAGGUUCAAGUGACAGGAUUGUUUAAUGUCGUUCCCAAUGCACACGUGUGCAAAGGAGAACGAUAUAGUUGUUACUCCGGAUCUGUUGCAGCACAAAACAAAACACUCACACAUUGAGAUAAAGAACGCAAUAAUUUUUUAAAAAGUAACUAUAAACACAUAAGCUAUUUUAUAUACACAGAUUACACAGGACAUAAAGUGACGCUAGUCACAAGUCUGUGUGCAAACGGAAAACUUGACUGGAAGUGCUAAAGUGGCGUUGGUGGGAGGGGAGGGGGGCGGGUGUGUGGAAGUGUUGGUCAUUCUUACUGCUUGGGAAAAGUAGCUGUUAAAAUCUGAAGCUUCGAACGUUGCAUGAGCACACAAGUCCGUAAGCGGCCACCUCAUUUGCGAAGCGGCUUUCCGGAAGUCAUGUCAGGAGCUCUUGUAAUUCCCACGGACGAAGAAAAGUCCCCCAUCCUUCAAGUGACCGAGAAGUAGCCAGUUGGCUUAGAAGAGGAAUUCCAGACCUGUUGGUCCACGACCUCCUUGCUCAGCGGUAUUGGUACACAGAAUAAAAAGUCAUGUGAUCAUCUCUGUCCUCGAUAAAGCACACAGAGGUCAGCCAAGAGCCUCUCAACUUUGGAACGGGAAAUUAAUCGACUUGAUCUUCGGCAUUGCAAGGCCAGACCGGAAAAUAAACUGCUGAUUAUGUCAUCAUAUUUGCAAGAUGAGGACAAGGAAGAAAAGUUUCCUCGCGCUGGCAUGUGGAAGAAUCCCAAUUCUUUAUCAAGAUAAUCAGCAAUAAUUUCGUCUCCUUUUACGCUCGCGUACAGAGGAAUGACGGUAAACCCUAUUUUGAAAUUCGGACACAAGAGAUUCUGCAGGUGCUGGAAAUCCAGAGCCAACGGCCAGAAACGUCGACUGCUUAUUCCCCUCCAUAGGCGCUGCCUGACCUGCUGAGUCCCAGUAGCGUUUUUAUCUUUAUCAAAAAUGCUUUUAAAAAAACUCUUAACGUCUAUGAGUACGUUGUGCUGUUAAAAUUGCGGCAAGAUGUUUCUAUGAAAAUAAAGUUAAUUGACAAUAUUUAUUUACCCUCCGUAAAUCGAUCGACCUUCUCUGUUACAUUUCCUUCACAUCAAGGGAACGACGUCGCUAACUGGAAAGAACGGAGUAGAAAGUUUGGUCUAUCUGGGCUUCUGUAGAGCGGUUGACGCUUCUUAUAGGGCCAAAGAGCGCGAGACUUAAUUGAAUAAAAAAUUCUAUCAGUAAUUGGAUCACAUGAGUUGAUUUAUUGUUUUAUAGGUUGUUUCUUUUUUUUCUGGAAAUUUCCCACCUGCCCAGUCUGCAUUCAGCUCCAGAUCUUGAUCUCUGGAAGUCCGUUCUCUCUCUUUCUUCAUCACCAUUGGAGCUCGAAAGCGCGCUCUGAAAAUUCCUGGCAUAAGUUAGAUUGAGCUCUUAAAGACAGCGGAGUCUUAAGAGCAUAAGGCACGGGGGCAGAAUUAGGCCAUUCUCCCCACCACAUCCGCUCCGCCAUCCCAUUAUGGCUGACAGUUGGAGGGUAAUAGAUGCUGGUGACUCAUUACAGCCUCUCACCAGGAUUGGCAGGAACCUGCUGAAAGUGAGCCUGCAGGUACAGCAGGCAGUGAAGAAAGCUGAUGGCAUGUUGGCCUUCAUAACAAGGAGAGUUGAGUAUAGGAGCAAAGAGGUCCUUCUGCAGUUGUACAGGGCCCUGGUGAGACCCCACCUGGAGUAUUGUGUUCAGUUUUGGUCUCCAAAUUUGAGGAAGGACAUUCUUGGUAUUGAGGGAAUGCAGUGUAGGUUCCCGAGGUUGAUUCCCGGGAGUCCCGAAGUUGAUUCCCGGGAUGGCGGGACUGUCAUAUGUUGAAAGAUUGGAGCGACUGGGCUUGUAUACACUUGAAUUUAGAAGGAUGAGAGGGGAUCUGAUUGAAACAUAUAAGAUUAUUAAGGGAUUGGACACGCUGGAGGUAGGAAACACGUUCCCGAUGGGGGGUGAAGGGGGAGUCCAGAACCAGAGACCACAGUUUAAGGAUAAGGGGUAGGCCAUUUAGAACAGAGUUGAGGAAAACAUUUUUCACCCAGAGAGUUGCGGAUCUGUGCAAUGCUCUGCCCCAGAAGGCAGUGGAGGCCAAUUCUCUGGAUGCUUUCAAGAAAGAGUUAGAUAGAGCUCUUAUAGAUAGCGGGGUCAAGGGAUAUGGGGAGAAGGCAGGAACGGGGUACUGAUUGUGGAUGACCAGCCAUGAUCACAGUGAAUGGCGCUGCCGGCUCGAAGGGCCGAAUGGCCUACUCCUGCACCUAUUGUCUGUUGCCUAAUUUCCCCUUCAACUGCUUCCUCGCCAUUCCUGCACUUGGUUUCGGUUGUAUCCCCUGUCCUGUUCUGAGUAAAUGCCACAGGGGUGUUAGAAGAAUGGAGGGUGAUGUUGGAGAGGAGAGCUAGAUUGGUCUUGGAGUGAGUGAAAAGACCAGCACAACGCCAUGGGCCGGAGGGCCUGUGUACUGCGCGGCAGUGUUCCACGUUCUGCGUUCCAAAUGCCGUUCACCUUCAUUGUCAACCUAAUUUCGUUCUCCGUAGGCACUGCCCGGCCUUUUAAGUAUUUCCAUCACCGUCUGUUGUAAGGACAAUAACAUUUUCAAGCACAAGCUGAAGCUCGUGGCCUUUCAACCGUACACAUGCGUGCAGCCAAUCGAAAGGCAGAACACAGACUGUGUGUUAGCAGUGAUACGCACUGACAAGCUGACGUAAGCUGCGAGCUCUAUGCGUGUGCGCGACAGCAUUUAUCUAUAUAUCCCUCAGAGUAAGCGAACAAUUCCAACACGCUUUUUCCUCCUCAUGAUUUCAGCGGCAGCUGUGUAUCAACUACACCGUUCCUUACAGAUCCUUGGUGCCAGGCUUCAGAGCAAUCCUUUGCACUCCAAAGUGAAAUGCGUCAGGGCUCAGAUCUGAGCCAUGGGCAUCUCCCUGCCGUGAAUUUCAGGUAGGCUGGGAGCCAUUUCUUUCAUUGAGGUGAUAUCCUUCGAGCACUAUUAAGACAGAGGAGCAGGAUCAGGCCAUUGGGCCCAUCGUGUCCCUUCUUCGUUCUAUCUUGGCUGAUUUAUUAUCUCCCCCCCCCCCACAAACCAUUCUUCCGCAUUCUCCCCGUAACCUUCGACACAUUUUAGUCGAAGAUCUAUCGGCCUCUGUUCUAAAUAUACUCAACGACCUGGCCUCCCACAGCCGGCUGUGGCAAUGAAUUCCACAGAUUCACCACCCUCUGGCUAAGGAAAUUCCCCCUCAUUUCUCCUAUAAAUUGCAUUCUGAAACCGUCUCCUUUGGUCCCAGACUCCCCUCUGUAUUUGCUGCAUGGCUCAAAGUGUUGUGAAACUGUUUGUGAAAGAAUCAUAACGAAGGCCAAGGAAUAUCUUUCCAGACACUUUUAGCAAAUAUUCGUUCAAAAGCUAAAUGUCUGACGGUCGCAUGCAGACCACAGUCUAUUCGAAGGCAGCACGUAUUGGCAGUGAAACUCCAGCCAUCCAAGUAGACAGUAAAUUUAUUAUCAAAUGGCAUAUAUACUACCUCCAGAUUAAUUUUCUUGCAGGCCUUCACAGUAAAACAAAAAUGCACGAUGGAAUCAAUGGAAAACAACAGACACAAAGGCCGGCAAACAACCUGUGUGGAAAAGAAGGCAGAUUGUGCAAAAAGUCCAUAGAUGCAUAAGCAGACAGGUAGGGGGACAGAGAGGUAGACAGUUAGAUGGAUAGAGAGGGAGAAAGAUAGAUAAAUAGGUAGAUAGGGAUAGAUAGACAGACAGACAGAUAGAAAGAUACUGAACACAUCAACGAACGUGACACGUCAUUGAGAUUGCAAAGGAAGCUGAAAAGCAUGGUUAUUACACAACACCCAAUCUAAGAUAGCCAUUCCCCGAGUAGGCUCAAGCAUAAGCUGCUCUGAAAAGCCAUCUCGUAGGCAUUCAACAAGUUUCCUCUCCUUCAGUCUAUUGGGACCACUGCUUUUCAGAUUGUUUGUCAAUGAUUUGUGGCAAAGGUUACGGAUGAUACGAAGAUAGUUGGAGGGGUAGAUAGUUCUGAGGAAGCAAUGCGAUUGCAGUAGGACUUGGACAAAUUGGCAGAAUGGGCAAAAAAGUGGCAGAGUGAAUACAGUGUUGGGAAUUUUUUUGUAAAACGAAAACUAUUGUGGACUACUAUCCAAAUGGGAAAAUGUUAAAUCAUCAAAGGUGCAGAGGGACUUAGGAAUCCUCGUGCAAGACCCCCAGAAGGUUAAUUUACAGGUCUGUGGUCCAAAAGGCAAAUGUAAUGUUGUCAUUUAUUUGAAGGAAUAGAAUGUAAAAGCAAGGAGAAAAUGCUAGGGGUUUUAUAAGACAAUACUUGGAGUACUGCCAACAAUUUUGGGUCCCAUAUCUCAGAAAGGAUGUGUUCCUGUUGGAGAGGAUGAUUCCAGGAAUGAAGGGGUUAUCAUAUGAGAAUCAUUUUGCGCCUUGGGCCUGAACUCACUGGAAUUUGGAAGAAUGCGUGGGGGUCACAUUGAACCCCGCCGUGUGUUGAAAGAACUAGAUAAGGUGGAGAAGAUGUUCCUUACGUUAGGGGGUGUCCAGAUCUCGAGGGCAUAACCUCGGAAUUGAAGGAAAGGAAGAAUUGUUUUAGCUGGAGAGUAGUAAAUCUGUGGAAUGCUCUGCCACAGACAGCGGUGGAGGCCAAGAUCGUGGGUGUAUUUAACGCGGGAUUUACUCGGAUUCUUAUCGGUCAGGGCAUCAAAGGAUAUGGCGAGAAAGCAGGUGUAUGAGGUGGAAUAGGAUCCAGAAUCAGUCAUGAUGGGAUGGUGAAGCAGACUCGCUGGUCUGAAUGGCCUAAUUCUACUCUUAUGCGUAAUGGUCUUAUGGACAGUGGUGAGGUUCAUCACUAACAACGAUGAGUUGGUCCACAGAGAGGAGCUGGGAAGUUCCCAGGUCUGGUGCCAGACAAAUGCCCUCUCCCUGAAUGUGAACAAGAUAAACGACUUCAGGAGACAUUCACACCCCUCUUUACAUCUGAGGCACAGCAGUGGAAACCGGAAGCACAUCGCACACCAACCCUCAUAGUCCCAUAACAUAUCCUGCACAGUCAAGGAUGCUCGCCAGCCCCUCUGCUGGGGAGGCUGAAGAGAGGUGGACUUUGUACAUCUAUACUCACGUCAUUCUACAGAUGUACAAUGGGGGGGGGGCAUCCGGACAAACUGCGUCACUGUUAGGUACGGAAACUGUACUGCGGUGGACAGAAAGGCCUUACAACGGGUAACGAAAUCUGUACAACGGCGCAAGCUUUCAUGCCACCAAGGACAUAUGCACAGAAACGUGCCGCGAAAAGGCUAGAAACAUCAUGGACCAUUGCAUACACCUUGCUCAUGCACUCGUCUCGGUCCCGUCAGGGAGGAGGCUACGUAGCAUCCACACCAGGGCGAACAGACUCAUAAUUAUUUAAUAUUCCAAAGCAGCAAGGCUGAUCAACCACUACUUUGUUAAUUUCCCGUCAAUCAUCUUAUGUACAACCUAGCAUCAAACUAUGCACAAAAGCCAAUCUCUGUAUAUAAGCAAUUUUAUGAAUGUAUAUUUAUUAUUAUUAUUAUUAUUAUUAUUAUUAUUAGUAGUAGUAGUAGUAGUAUUGUGUUCUUCAUUCUCCCUCCCCCACCCACCUAGCCUCCCCAUCACCUGGUUUUACCAAUCACCUGCCAGCUUGUACUCGUUCCCCUCCCCCACCCACCUAGCCUCCCCAUCACCUGGUUUUACCAAUCACCUGCCAGCUUGUACUCGUUCCCCUCCCCCACCUUCCAAUUCUAGCUUCUUCACCCUUCCUUUCCAGUCCUGAAGAAGGGUCUCGGCUGGAAACGUCGACUGUUUAUUCCCCUCAAUGGACGCUGCCACACUGCAUUUCCAGAAUCUGCAAAAUCUCUCGUGUUUAUGAAAAAGCUGUGUUUGCAAACUAAAUGGAAAACCAAACCUUAAAUUCUAGAUGACUCCAACACGGUAAACAUUGGCUAUGGGCGAGGAGGUAGGGGGAUGGCGGGAGUUGCGGAAACGGAAUUUCAAGUUUCAAAUUCUGGUUCCAGAAUUUCAUUUAACCUACACACACAAAAUGCUGGUGGAACACAGCAGGUCAGGCAGCAUCUAUAAGGAGAAGCAAUGUCGAAAUUUCGGGCCGAGACCCUUCAUCAGGACUAACUGAAAGGAACAAUAGUAAGGGAUUUGAAAGUAGGAGGGGGAGCAGAAAAUGCAAAAUGAUAGGAGAAGACUGGAGGGGGUGGGAUGAAGCUGAGAGUCGGAAAGGUGAUUGGCAAAAGGGAUACAGAGUUGGAGAAGGGAAAGGAUCAUGGGACAGGAGGCCUCGGGAGAAAGAAAGGGGGGGGGAAGCACCAGAGGGAGAUGAAGAACAGGCAGGGUGAUGAGCAGAAAGAGAGAAAAAAGGGGGGGGGAGAAACUACUUAUAUCAGGGAUGGGGUAAGAAGGUGAGGAGGGGCAUUAACGGAAGUUAGAGAAGUCAAUGUUCAUGCCAUCAGGUUGGAGGCUACCCAGCCGGUAUAUAAGGUGUUGUUCCUCCAACCUGGAGUGCGGCUUCAUCUUGACAGUAGAGGAGGCCAUGGAUAGACAUAUCAGAACGGGAAUGGGACGUGGAAUUAAAAUGUGUGGCCACUGGGAGAUCCUGCUUUCUCUGGCGGACACAGUGUAGGUGUUCAGUGAAACGGUCUCCCAGUCUGCGUCGGAUCUCACCAAUAUAUAAAAGGCCACACCUUGAAGUACUGUCUGGGGCCCUGAAUGGUGGUGAGGGAGGAAGUGUAAGGGCAGGUAUAGCACUUGUUCCGCUUACAAGGAUAAGUGCCUGGAGGGAGAUCGGUGGGAGGGGAUGGGGGGGGGGAACGAAUAGACAAGGGAGUCGCGUAGGGAGCGAUCCAUGUGGAUCGGGGAAGGGGGGAAGGGAAAGAUGUGUUUGGUAAUGGGAUCCCGUUGGAGGUGCGGAAGUUACGGAGAAUUAUAUGUUGGACCCGAAGGCUGGUGGGGUGGUAGGUGAGGACAAGGGGAACCCUAUCCUGAAUGUGGUGGUGGGCGGAUGGGGUGAAUGCAGAUGUGCGGGAUUGAAUAUUUUUGGUUAUUAGGUCUGUAGUCUAGUGUAGUAGUCUUUUUUUUCUCUGUGUUGUUUUUUAUUACGUAGUUCAGUCUAGUUUUCUGUAUUUUGUCAUGUAACACCAUGGUCCUGAAAAACGUUGUCUCAGUUUUUACUGUGUACUGUACUAGCAGUUAUGGUCGAAAUGACAAUAAAAGUAACUUGACUUGACUUGACUUGAUGCUACUGUCAUUCCCUUUACUCCACUGAAAUACCGACAUAUCCGAUUUCGGCUUCUCUUUCUCAAAUUUCACAGU
Long non-coding RNA from Hypanus sabinus (Atlantic stingray), 7472 nucleotides. RefSeq lists it as uncharacterized. The transcript has 4 exons. The record is from RefSeq and is a predicted model, not a curated record. Lineage: Eukaryota; Metazoa; Chordata; Chondrichthyes; Myliobatiformes; Dasyatidae.